UCACUCAUCUAUCACUCCUUCAUCACUCCUCUAUGACUCCUCUGUCACUCAUCUAUCACUCCUUCAUCGCUCAUCUAUCACUCCUUCAUCACUCCUCUAUCACUCCUUCAUCACUCCUUCAACACUCCAUCGUCCUCUAUCACUCCAUCACUCCUCUAUCACUCCUUCAUCAGUCGUCUAUCCCUCCUCCAUCCUUCCUUCAUCAGUUAUCAAUCUCUCUUGUCUACUUGUCCCGCUGUCUGUCUGUCUGCUUGUGUCACUCUGUUUGUGUGAUUCUGUUGUAACAUUUCCCUAUAAUGAUAAUCAGGCAGCUCUCAGACGUGUUGCUGUCACAGCAGGGAGCCCCUCCCCCAUUCCUGCCGCCCUCAUUAUGACCAUAUAUGGUUAUUUUUUCAGAAUCUCUAUCAGUGACCAGUGAGGAGUUCACCAAUGCAGGUGCAACAGAGAAGAGCUGCAUGAGGCACGAGAGCCAAUCGCUUUCUACCGUGUGACAGAAUGUAUUAUUUCUAUAUUUAUUUAACGCUUUGCUGUGUAAAAUAAAGAAAAAAACUGGUAUUAAACGAUCUGCUGUAAUUCGCGUGAGGAAAUAACAUCACAUGUUUGCAGCUCAAUGCGGCUUAAUGACAAACAGAACCAAAGGAACAACACUACACCCUCGGUUAACACUUCGGGGUGGUGGUUCAUACCGGUUCUCAGUGGUUUCCUGUG
Molecule: long non-coding RNA, 708 nt
Organism: Gasterosteus aculeatus aculeatus (three-spined stickleback)
Lineage: Eukaryota; Metazoa; Chordata; Actinopteri; Perciformes; Gasterosteidae
Source: Ensembl